RNAcentral lists this small nuclear RNA (99 nucleotides) under Nannospalax galili (Upper Galilee mountains blind mole rat). Lineage: Eukaryota; Metazoa; Chordata; Mammalia; Rodentia; Spalacidae. The record is from RNAcentral.
GUGCUUAUUUUGGCAGCACAUACACUAAAACUGGAAUUACACAGAGAAGAUUAGCAUGGCUCCUGAACAAGGAAAAUUCAUGAAGUGGUCUAUGCUAAA